This 536-nucleotide ribosomal RNA is filed under the name uncultured Acidobacteriota bacterium. Its description in RNAcentral is "bacterial SSU rRNA". It matches the Rfam family "Bacterial small subunit ribosomal RNA", at positions 355 to 897 of the family's 1533-position model. Lineage: Bacteria; Pseudomonadati; Acidobacteriota. The record is from RNAcentral.
UGGGGAAUUUUUGGCAAUGGGGGCAACCCUGACCAAGCAACGCCGCGUGGGUGAUGAAGUCUCUUGGGACGUACAACCCUUUCGACGGGGAAGAAAACCGCAAGGUUUGACGGUACCCGUAGAAGAAGCCCCGGCUAACUCCGUGCCAGCAGCCGCGGUAAUACGGGGGGGGCAAGCGUUGUUCGGAAUUACUGGGCGUAAAGGGCGCGUAGGCGGCUCGCUAAGUUGGAUGUGAAAACUCUGGGCUCAACCCAGAGCCUGCAUCCAAAACUGGCGGGCUAGAGUUCUGGAGGGGGUAGCGGAAUUCCUGGUGUAGCGGUGAAAUGCGUAGAUAUCAGGAGGAACACCGGUGGCGAAGGCGGCUACCUGGACAGAAACUGACGCUGAGGCGCGAAAGCUAGGGGAGCAAACAGGAUUAGAUACCCUGGUAGUCCUAGCCCUAAACGAUGGAUACUUGGUGUAGCUGGGAUUGAAUCCAGCUGUGCCGAAGCUAACGCAUUAAGUAUCCCGCCUGGGGAGUACGGUCGCAAGGCUGA